This 497-nucleotide ribosomal RNA is filed under the name uncultured bacterium. RNAcentral describes it as "partial 16S ribosomal RNA". It matches the Rfam family "Bacterial small subunit ribosomal RNA", at positions 28 to 507 of the family's 1533-position model. The record is from RNAcentral.
GAUGAACGCUGGCGGCGUGCCUAAUACAUGCAAGUCGAGCGAACAGACGAGGAGCUUGCUCCUCUGACGUUAGCGGCGGACGGGUGAGUAACACGUGGAUAACCUACCUAUAAGACUGGGAUAACUUCGGGAAACCGGAGCUAAUACCGGAUAAUAUAUUGAACCGCAUGGUUCAAUAGUGAAAGACGGUUUUGCUGUCACUUAUAGCUGGAUCCGCGCCGCAUUAGCUAGUUGGUAAGGUAACGGCUUACCAAGGCGACGAUGCGUAGCCGACCUGAGAGGGUGAUCGGCCACACGGGAACUGAGACACGGUCCAGACUCCUACGGGAGGCAGCAGUAGGGAAUCUGCCGCAAUGGGCGAAAGCCUGACGGAGCAACGCCGCGUGAGUGAUGAAGGUCUUCGGAUCGUAAAACUCUGUUAUUAGGGAAGAACAAAUGUGUAAGUAACUAUGCACGUCUUGACGGUACCUAAUCAGAAAGCCACGGCUAACUACGUG